UGUACUCUAGGGACGUGUUUGAUUUCAACCCUUUUCCUUGCCUAGCAAAAGAGUAGGCUGAUGAACUUGCUGUUCCUCCAUUGACAGAAAAUACUCGACUAUUUUCGGUGUGUCCCCAAAAUUACCCUGAUGUGGCAACUCUGUACUUCUCACUCUCAACUCGAGAGCCGGUUUUCCAUCACCGAGUUUCUAUAACCAGCGCCACCACCCUGCCUGUCAAAUAAUUUUGCCUCCCUAACCUAUGUUCGAACGAUUCCCUAAGCAUAAACUUAAAUGGGGCCACAUUCAUACAUAUGUUUCAGGCGAUAUGCAUGCACUGUACAAAGACAUUAACUAGCAUCUGAUUGUCCGAAUGAACAAGAACGGUUGUUAUCUCGGUAUGAUACGAACCUAUUCACACCACCUUUGACUCAGGUACAGGAGAUGUAUAUAUGUAGCUUUUCUGAAUGAGGGAAAGGAGUAUGUCAUUGCGCAUACUCUAGUCUACCCCAUCAAUUUUCUCAUCAUGCAUCUAAAUACACCACACAACGUUGGAAUUAAAAUCAACCACGUCCAGCUUAACAGGAAGCAAAUGGGGUACCGACGAAAUAGGACAACCCACUACAACGUCAUGUCCACACCACAAUGUCGCCAAUACACCUGAACUAAACAAAACGCAUGUCAGACUAACGGGCCCAUAUUUUGUGGGCUGUCACUGCGAGGUAGCAAACGAGCACCCUACACGCGGUCUGUGGCAAUAGGCCGGGCUGGCCGUCCUUCCGAUUUGGUUGAUUCAAAUCAGCUAUCAUGCAUGCUACCAUAUAUCUAUAUAUAUGGGGUCUAUCUAAUGGAAUAGCAUGUGCGGGCUGGUCGAGUUGACGAUGAAUUAUUACCUCGACUGCUCCAGUAACUUACUUGAAUAUUUAAGGUGAACUGUUUCCGUUGUUGCGUUUUUGUGUUCGCAUUCAUGGCCCAGGGUACCGGGUCCCUGAGUUAGUUUAUAUGUACGGAGUACAUGUACAUGUACAUGUACAUGUACAUUAACCCCAAAAAGCCUAUUUACGUCACUUGGUUCUUACUUGGUUUUUUUCGAGGGAUGGAUUCUGCGACUUGGCGUGGUGCUCAAAAGAGGGGUUAGAGGUAUAGGCGAAGAGGGCCCAAAGCUGCAGGGCAAUUGAGCACUUGAAGGAGGGCAAAGCUAAGGAAGGGAAAGAUGCCAGAACACCUUUGGCCUAACUAAAUUUGAACAAUAAACCGGUUUCCAUAUCUCCUUCUCAGUAGCUUUCGGAGCUAAUAUUUGGCAUGAAUACUAUGGGAAGGAAAACGAAACUGAGGCGGAACUCGUUCGUCCCCCAUUGCGAAGAGUAAUGUGGCCGUAUCAACCAAU
RNAcentral lists this small RNA (1366 nucleotides) under Histoplasma capsulatum var. duboisii H88. RNAcentral describes it as "Histoplasma capsulatum H88 hypothetical RNA". The record is from RNAcentral. Lineage: Eukaryota; Fungi; Ascomycota; Eurotiomycetes; Onygenales; Ajellomycetaceae.